AUUAGUUAAUCAAAUAACACCUGCAUGAUGAUGUUAUAUAUAUACAUGUAAGCAAGCAACAUUACCCAUUUUCUCAUCGAUCUAUAUUUGUUUAUAUAAAUUCAUGUAUUAACUUGUAGUAUUUAUAUGAUCAAAGCGUGUAACAAAAAGCUAGUAAUCAAAAAGCAAAACCAAACCCACAAACAAAAGCAAAAGCAAAAAGUAAGAGCAAAAGCUAAGCCAAGCCAGGCCAAGCAAAAAUCUAAAGUUGUCCGGAAAAGCUCUCAUCGAAAGCACAGCCACAACCAAAACCAAAACCCAACUUCACAUUAAAAAAAAAAAAA
RNAcentral lists this long non-coding RNA (323 nucleotides) under Citrus sinensis (sweet orange). RNAcentral describes it as "long non-coding RNA (CSIN_LNC005664)". The record is from RNAcentral. Lineage: Eukaryota; Viridiplantae; Streptophyta; Magnoliopsida; Sapindales; Rutaceae.